This 117-nucleotide small RNA is filed under the name Pteridomonas danica. RNAcentral's name for it is "partial Alphaproteobacteria transfer-messenger RNA". Lineage: Eukaryota; Dictyochophyceae; Pedinellales. The record is from RNAcentral.
CAUCUGGGUUACCUCCAGGCAUUGGUGGUGCUUCAACAAUGAUGAGUCGAUCUAGUCGUUAUUCUAAAGAUAUUUUUGAAGACGAGCCUUUAAGUCCAUCAACCCCUGCUGCUGCUG